Molecule: ribosomal RNA, 492 nt
Filed under: uncultured bacterium
Lineage: Bacteria
Description: partial 16S ribosomal RNA
Rfam family: Bacterial small subunit ribosomal RNA
Source: RNAcentral
AGUGAACGCUGGCGGUAGGCCUAACACAUGCAAGUCGAACGGCAGCACAGUAAGAGCUUGCUCUUACGGGUGGCGAGUGGCGGACGGGUGAGGAAUACAUCGGAAUCUACUUUUUCGUGGGGGAUAACGUAGGGAAACUUACGCUAAUACCGCAUACGACCUACGGGUGAAAGCAGGGGAUCUUCGGACCUUGCGCGAUUCAAUGAGCCGAUGUCGGAUUAGCUAGUUGGCGGGGUAAAGGCCCACCAAGGCGACGAUCCGUAGCUGGUCUGAGAGGAUGAUCAGCCACACUGGAACUGAGACACGGUCCAGACUCCUACGGGAGGCAGCAGUGGGGAAUAUUGGACAAUGGGCGCAAGCCUGAUCCAGCCAUACCGCGUGGGUGAAGAAGGCCUUCGGGUUGUAAAGCCCUUUUGUUGGGAAAGAAAAGCAGCAGGUGAAUACCCCGCUGUUCUGACGGUACCCAAAGAAUAAGCACCGGCUAACUUCGUG